ACCCUAGACGCACUUUUUGACCCCUAUAUAAACAGACCCUGACGUCAGUUUUCAAAGACCAAUCUAUUCAAGCCUUCUCUCCUUCUUCAAUUAGAACUUGCUUAGUUCCUCGCUGCUCCAAUGGUCGAAGAGUUCCACGACGAUUGGGAAGUCGUCCCCUACGACCUCAACAAGAAGCCUAAGGAAGACCCGACACCCGUGCUCUCGUCCCGGCCAACACAGAGCGAUAGCUAGUAGCCAUGCCAUUACGCCAGUGCAGCUCCACCCAAUCCUACCAUGCUCAACCAGUUCUCACUGCACCACCGCAGCCCCUACUUCUCAAGGGAGCGUCACCCAAGAAGGAGGCCACCAUCAAGGUGCCAGCCGACACAAGGAUCCUGCCACCCAGACCUAAUGAGAGGGUCGUUGGAGUCAAGACCAACCGGAGCGGCGAGAUCAGCAGCAUCCACUACACUAUGGAGGAGGAGAGACCUUACUUUGAAGGGAUUAGAGCAGCCAAAGUCCGUUUCAUCCCUCCAAAGGCAGCCCGAAGCACGCUCUCAACGCUCUUGAGACACCUCCUAAGCGUCGCAAGACUAUAGUAGAUAUUGAUGAGGACGCUCGAAGGCUAGACAGGAUCAUCAUAGAACUCCAGUCCUCGGUUAACUCUAUCACUAGGUGGCUCUCUAACCAGAACACCAUUAUACUAGGUCUUAGGCAUGAUCUUGCUAGUGCCAAUAAGAAGAUCAGGGAGUUAGAACGCCGCUAAGUUAUCUAGAUUAGAUCUUGAGGCAAUGCAUCUUAGUUAUUUAUCUUUAAAUUCGGUUUAGAUCUAUUAUUAGCUUCAGUUCAUUACAAGUUAGUUGUAAUAAAUGCCUCAAGAUUAAUAAAGAGUAUUAUUAUUAUUAUUAUUAUUAUUAUUAUUAUUAUUAUUAUUAUUAUUAUUAUUAUUAUUAUUAUUAUUAUGUCUUGUGUGUCUCUACGUUAUUUUUUAUGCAAGAAAGCAGAAAACAAGUAUGGGAGAGAUCCCUCGACAUGCCAAAUACACUUCGACUACACCACUCCACGAUUCAGGUACAUACUCUGCACACUUUACAGAUACAUAUCUUGGAUUAUGCAGAAUAUUGUCUCUCAUAUGAUAAAUUAAAAAGAUUAAAAAUGUUUCUAAUCAUGAUUAAUCUCACUCUGUGAUAUUUCCUAAAACCUACAAUUAUUGAAAAAAUCAUUUAAAAAAAACCUGUGUUACUUAAGUCAUUGUGGAAUGUGAGAUGGUAGAGUAUGAGUAUCUUAUUCUUGAUAUCAUUGUUGCUUGGAGAAUUUAUUAAAAAAUUCUAGCUACCAUCUUCAGUGUUUUAUAUGCCUGAUAAACCUGAAAAUAUUAACAUGAUAAUUAUAAAAGCUAUCUACUCUGUAUUGAGUUUGUUCAAAAUGAGUUAGACCCUUGUUGAGAGAUUUAUCAUGCUCCUAAGAUCAAGACAUUUAUUCAGAAAGAUUCACUCUUCUGAAGUAUUAUUGCGUUAGAGGCAUGGGCUAUGCAAAAAUAAAGAUAUUUUGAGAAAAUAAAAAGGAGCAAGUGCUCGAUAACCUCGCAGAAAAAAAGGACAAGUGUCCGACAGUAGUAUUAGGGGUACCUAGGUAUCCACCUAAGAAAAAAAAGAAAAAGAGAGAAAAGAAGAAAAUGAUAGCCCAUGGUCCCUCUAAUAAGCAAUAUGCCAGUAAGAGUUGACAAGUUUUUAAUUUUCAAAAUCUUUGAUCUAAGAGUAUGGCAUUCUUCUCCUCGGAUCCCAUUUUGAUCAGGCAAUAAAUGCAAGGUAAGUAUGCUUGAGAAUUUUUGCAAAUUAAAACAGCCUCAGUGAGAUAUACAAAAGAUAAUGAGUGACCUGAGAGAACCUAUGAGGAUAAAGGUAUGCUAAAUUUCUUUUCAAAAAUAUACAAAAACUCCAAGUAACAGGAUUGAGAAGAAAGGAUCUCUACUCUUGACCAUAUACUUCCCUAACUACAGUACGUAGUGGAUUUUUACAACACCCUGCAGAUAUGAAGAGAAUGCUUUACAAUGUUUUAACUCCAGAUAUUUUUCUUAACAAUCCUUUUCUCGAGGACGAGUAAAAGCCUAAGUAUGGGGGUGUUUGUUGACGGUUCUUAAGUAUCAAUUUUAAUUAUCAAAUAAACAAGAGAAAGGACCAAUAUACAAACAACACCUAGAAUUAGGGUUUGAUCUGACAAAAUUCCACGAGUUUUGUUGUUUAUCUGUUUCUGUAGGAGGUUAUCAGGAAAUAAGGAAGAAAGGCCCACAUGUCGGGAUUGCAUAGAGAUAUUAACGCACCAUGCAAUUUUCUACCAUCUAGAAGACUCCAGAAGCCACGAGAACAAAUGGGAAGGCGAUCGGGCCCGGGGGCAGGGCGCCCGCCCUCCCCCCUAUGGCGCCCGUCCUGGAGUUGUACCCAAUCACAUCCAACUUCAUGGAUCAUGCUCCACCGACCUAAAGGGUCAAGGACAACCGUUCAAUCAAUGUCGGUUUGAUCCGACGGCCCAUGUUCACCUGAGGGGACUAUAUAAGCAGACCCCUGGCCUCUGGAGGAGAACAAGUUCAUCAUAUAGUUGAGAGGUGCCCUCGAAGCAUAACCUCUCCUCUAAAUAGACUUAGGGCUUAGCAUCUAAUGUGAGUAGACUAGUUCUACUAGAUUGAGAUAGAUAGAGUGGAGGUGUAGAUUAGAGGAAGCCCGUCCUGUCGGUGUCUACUCCGAGGUUGUACC
This 2732-nucleotide long non-coding RNA is filed under the name Sorghum bicolor (sorghum). RNAcentral describes it as "long non-coding RNA (SBIC_LNC006879)". Lineage: Eukaryota; Viridiplantae; Streptophyta; Magnoliopsida; Poales; Poaceae. The record is from RNAcentral.